This 541-nucleotide ribosomal RNA is filed under the name Cratyna nigerrima. RNAcentral's name for it is "partial 16S ribosomal RNA". The record is from RNAcentral. Lineage: Eukaryota; Metazoa; Arthropoda; Insecta; Diptera; Sciaridae.
GUUUUUUUGAUAUUAAUUUAAAAUUUAACCUGCCCAUUGAUGAUUAAAUUAAAAGGCUGCAGUAUUUUGACUGUACAAAGGUAGCAUAAUAAAUAGUUUUUUAAUUAAAAACUGGUAUGAAUGGUUGGAUGAAAUAUUUACUUUUUUAAUUAAAAAUUUAAAAAUUUAUUUUUUAUUAAAAAAGAUAAAAUAAAUUUAAAAGACGAGAAGACCCUAUAGAGUUUUAUAUUUAAUUGAAUUAUUAUUUUAUAAUAAAAUAAAUUAUUUUAAUAUAUUAUAUAUUUUAUUGGGGUGAUAGAAAAAUUUAAUUAACUUUUUAUUAAAUUUUUAAUAUAUAUAUAUAUAUAUUAAUAAUUAUACAUUUAUAUAUGAAAAAUUGAUCCAAUUUUAUUGAUUAAAAAAUUAAAUUACCUUAGGGAUAACAGCGUAAUAUUAUUUUUAAGUUCAUAUUAAUAAUAAGUUUUGCGACCUCGAUGUUGAAUUAAGAAAAUUUUUAGGUGCAGAAGUUUAAAAAAUAAGUCUGUUCGACUUUUAAAUUCUU